This 754-nucleotide long non-coding RNA is filed under the name Rattus norvegicus (Norway rat). RNAcentral describes it as "long non-coding RNA NONRATT030057". The record is from RNAcentral. Lineage: Eukaryota; Metazoa; Chordata; Mammalia; Rodentia; Muridae.
GGUUAGGAGGAUGUUGGCCUGGAAACCGGGAAGGGGAGUAACAAUCGAAAUGUAAAUAAGAAAUACUCAAGUUAAUAAAGAUCAGGAAAAAAAGAGGAAAUAAAGAAAUACAGGAAAAUAUAAUAAAAAUAUAAGAAAUAUAGGAACAUACAAUUAAGCAAAAUACAAUCAAACAGGUGAAAGAAAUGAAUAAAACUGUUUGAGACUUGAAAAUGGAAAUAGAAGCAACAAAGAAAAGACAAACGGGAAUCUUGGAGAUGGAAAACCUAGGGAAGAGGAGAGGAACUAUAGCCAACAGAAUACAAGAGAUGGAAGACAGAAUCUCAGGCCUGGAAAAUAUGAUUAGGGAAUGGAUACAUCAGUCAAAUAAAAUGUUAAAUCUAGAAAGUUCUUGACACAAAACAUCUAAGAAGUGUGGAAUAUUAUUUAAAAAAAUCAAACCAAAAUUAAUAGGACUAGAAGUAGAAGAUUCCCAGCUCCAAGGCCCAGAAAAUGUUAUCGGUAAAAUCAUACAGGAAAACCUCCCCAACCUAAAGAAAGAGAUGCCUAUAAAUAACCAAGAAGCCUACAGAACACCAAAUAUAUUAGACCAGAAAAGAAAGUCCUCCCUCUACAUAAUAAUGAAGACACUAAAUGAUGGAACAAAGAAAGAAUAUUAAAAGCUUCAAGGAAAAAAGGCUACGUUAGAUACAAAGGCAGACCUAUCAGAAUUACACCAAACUUCUCACCAGAGACUGUGAAAGCCAGAGGGGCC